This 459-nucleotide ribosomal RNA is filed under the name uncultured soil bacterium. RNAcentral describes it as "bacterial SSU rRNA". It matches the Rfam family "Bacterial small subunit ribosomal RNA", at positions 26 to 518 of the family's 1533-position model. The record is from RNAcentral.
AGAGCGAACGCUGGCGGCAGGCCUAAAACAUGCAAGUCGAACGCCGUAGCAAUACGGAGUGGCAGACGGGUGAGUAACACGUGGGAACGUACCCUUUGGUUCGGAACAACACAGGGAAACUUGUGCUAAUACCGGAUAAGCCCUUACGGGGAAAGAUUUAUCGCCGAAGGAUCGGCCCGCGUCUGAUUAGCUAGUUGGUGAGGUAACGGCUCACCAAGGCUACGAUCAGUAGCUGGUCUGAGAGGAUGAUCAGCCACACUGGGACUGAGACACGGCCCAGACUCCACGGGAGGCAGCAGUUAGGAAUCUUGGACAAUGGGCGCAAGCCUGAUCCAGCCAUGCGCGUGAGUGAUGAAGGACGUUAGGGUUAGUAAAGACUCGUUCUAGCGGGGAAGGAUAAAGUAGACGUACCCGACCGAGAAGAAAGACCCGGCCUAACGUUCGUGCCACGACAGCCGC